GACUUAAAUGGGGUGGGAAAUGGCCCCAAAAUGGCCCUAAAUGGGGAGAAAUGGCCCCAAAAUGGGCUUAAAUGGGCCCAAAAUGGCCCUAAAUGGGGGGAAUUGACCCCAAAAUGGCCCUAAAAGGGGUUAUAUGGCCCUAAAUGGGGUUAUAUGGCCCCAAAAUGGGCCUAAAUGGGGGGAAAUGGACCCAAAAUGGGCUUAAAUGGUGAGAAAUGGCCCCAAAAUGAACUUAAAGGAGUUAUAUGG
Molecule: long non-coding RNA, 249 nt
Filed under: Coturnix japonica (Japanese quail)
Lineage: Eukaryota; Metazoa; Chordata; Aves; Galliformes; Phasianidae
Description: lncRNA (ENSCJPG00005002295.1)
Source: RNAcentral